GCAUUCGAAAUAAGCUCAUGGCAAACACAAUAUCACUGAAGGAAGCGAGAACCUUUGCAAUGCUCUGGGGAGGAGUCCAGCUGCCCUCAUCCCCAGUCACCCUGCGGGGUGCUGGCCAGCCUUCCCAGAGCCAAGAAAGGGCCCCGCUGGACUCCUGGCUACACACAUGUAAGUUGAUGGCUGAUGCUGACAAAACUGAGACACUUAGGCAGCAAUUGUUCUCUGCCUAGAGGCACCAUCAUCCCAGCCCUAGCCUCUUCCUGUUCUGUUUAUUUCUGAAAACAGGUUGCCGUGCCUGCAACUUUUAUUCCUUUGGGGAACUAACCCUUCUGCUCUCCUUGUGGUCCUGUGGGACUGUCAGUCACUGUUUCCCUCCUCUAGCCCCAGCCUCUUGCCACCAAGGUGGGCAGGUGUGCCCAGCUGAAACAGCUAGAGUGCCACAUCUCAAACACAGUAACUGGUAUAGGUGUGCACAGCUUGGCAAGUCCUCACAUUUCCAGGUGCAUAUGCAUAAGUGUCAAGAGGAGGCUUGCUUUCCACUGACUGCCAAGCUGGGGCCAUGUAAGCCUGGAACUGCUAGCAGCCAUCUUCCCUGACUACGUGAAAGAGGCCCACCUGCAGUAGGGGGAGAAUUAGACUCACACAGGAACAAACAAUCAGAGCAGAACCAAGAGGAGGAGAAAAGAAAAAGACCACCAUUUGUGUCGCUGGAUCUGAACUUACCUGAAGACAAACACCCCUGAAUGUCUCAGCUUGAAGAACAGACUGUGGCAAAGGAGAAGCUAAGAUGGGCCAGUGAGUUUCUCAACCACACGCCCACACUCCUCUCCAGAAGUCAGCAGCCUCCUGUCCAGUGCAGGAGAGUCCACCGUCCUCCACACCAUCCUAUGGAAAGGCAGGCCACAUACGUAGCUUGGAAUUGUCCUGUGGACACACUUUUCAAAAAGAAAAAAAACAUGAAAUAAAUUUCAAUAAUACAGUCUGUUUAACCCAAUAUGUCUAGAAUAUUGUAAUUUUUCAUUGCUUCAGACAAAUAAUAAAAUAGUAUCAUUUCAUUUUGAUCAAUAUAAAAAUGUUAUUGACUAUUUCACUUUUCGUGGAACCUAGCCUUCAAACACCUGCGUGUAUUUUAUACACAUUGAACAUCUCAAUUUGGACUAGUCACAUUUUAGAGGCUCAGUAGUUCCACGUGGCUAAUGGCUGCUAUAUUGAACUGUGGGGGCUUAAAUUACAAAGCUUCACACAUGUAGAUUUGAGGAAAGCAUAGUAUCAAAUCUAGGAUGCAUUUGUUCUCAUGUUUUGACUUUCUACAAUGCAAUGCAGGUUUUCUUGCCAUAAGAUUAAAACACAAAGGCUGCAUUGAUUUUUCUCUUUUUCUCCUACAUUUCUGCAAUAGAUUCCUUUGGCAUGCCUUAAAUUUGGGGCAUGUGUAAAUAAUAGGCACCAAUACUUUCCUGCCAAGGACAGA
Molecule: long non-coding RNA, 1468 nt
Filed under: Callithrix jacchus (white-tufted-ear marmoset)
Lineage: Eukaryota; Metazoa; Chordata; Mammalia; Primates; Cebidae
Description: lncRNA (ENSCJAG00000069602.1)
Source: RNAcentral